UGGGGAAUAUUGGACAAUGGGCGCAAGCCUGAUCCAGCAAUGCCGCGUGAGUGAUGAAGGCCUUAGGGUUGUAAAGCUCUUUCAGCGGGGACGAUGAUGACGGUACCCGCAGAAGAAGCCCCGGCUAACUUCGUGCCAGCAGCCGCGGUAAUACGAAGGGGGCUAGCGUUGUUCGGAAUUACUGGGCGUAAAGGGCGCGUAGGCGGCACUUCAAGUCAGGCGUGAAAGCCCCGGGCUUAACCUGGGAACUGCGUUUGAGACUGGAGCGCUCGAAUUCGGGAGAAGUGAGUGGAAUUCCCAGUGUAGAGGUGAAAUUCGUAGAUAUUGGGAAGAACACCGGUGGCGAAGGCGGCUCACUGGACCGACACUGACGCUGAGGCGCGAAAGCGUGGGGAGCAAACAGG
This 404-nucleotide ribosomal RNA is filed under the name uncultured bacterium. Its description in RNAcentral is "bacterial SSU rRNA". It matches the Rfam family "Bacterial small subunit ribosomal RNA", at positions 355 to 776 of the family's 1533-position model. The record is from RNAcentral.